GAUGAACGCUGGCGGCGUGCCUAAUACAUGCAAGUCGAGCGAACGGACGAGAAGCUUGCUUCUCUGAUGUUAGCGGCGGACGGGUGAGUAACACGUGGAUACCCUCCUUAUAAGACGGGGAAAAUUUGGGAAAUCCGGAGCUAAUACGGGAUAAUCUUUUGAACCGAAGGGUUAAAAGGUAAAAUUCGGCCUUUCGGUAUCUAAUAGAGGGUUCCGCGCUGCAUUGGCUAGUUGGUAAGGUAACGGCUUACCAAGGCAACGAUGCAUAGCCGACCUGAGGGGGUGAUCGGCCACCCUGGAACUGAGACACGGUCCAGACUCCUACGGGAGGCAGCAGUAGGGAAUCUUCCGCAAUGGGCGAAAGCCUGACGGAGCAACGCCGCGUGAGUGAUGAAGGUCUUCGGAUCGUAAAACUCUGUUAUUAGGGAAGAACAUAUGUGUAAGUAACUGUGCACAUCUUGACGGUACCUAAUCAGAAAGCCACGGCUAACUACGUG
RNAcentral lists this ribosomal RNA (497 nucleotides) under uncultured bacterium. Its description in RNAcentral is "partial 16S ribosomal RNA". It matches the Rfam family "Bacterial small subunit ribosomal RNA", at positions 28 to 507 of the family's 1533-position model. The record is from RNAcentral.